UUAAUUUAAUUUAAUUUACGCUGUAUAUUAUUUCUUAUUUUAUUAUAUAUAAUAUUAAAUAUUGCUAAUUUAUAUUGUUAUUAAUAAAAAAUGCAAUUCUUUAUUUCUAAUUAGAUAAAUUUGACGUAGACGUUUAUUAUUAUAUAAAACCCAGUUAUUAGUAUUUUGGUUCUUAUAAAAUUAAAACUGGUAAAAAUAUAGGCCCAUUUUAAUUUUAGAUUUGGAUAUCUUAACACUUAUACUUUUAUUAAUAAAAUAACCAAUGUUUAAUAAUUUGCAAGAUGGAUUUAAUGUUAGCGUUUGUUAUUAUUUACAAUCAAUUUCUUAAAAGUUUGGUUUUAAUAUUGUUAAAACUGGUAAAAACAAACCUGUUUUAAUUGCAAAUUUUACUAAAUUUUUAUUUGUUUUACCUAUGUGGUUUUAAAUACGUUAUAUUACGUAAUACUAAUCCAAUAAUAUAUAAAUAUAAAAUUUAUAUAUAUAUUAUCCUCCAUAUUUGAAAUUCUUUUCAAUUUUAAUAAAAAACAAACUAAUAAUGAAAUAAAAUCGAAAAUUAAAUAUUUUCACAAAGUUUACAUUCCGAUUAAUAAAUUUAAUUUAUUUGUAUGUUAAAAUUCACCAACUCGCAUAUUAAAGCUGAAAUUAAUUUGUUGUUAGAAAUUUAGCUAAUUAAUAUAUCCAGCGUGCAAACCGUAUAUUUUUACUAUUUUUAUUUAAUUCAUUUUAAAAGAGUGAUAUUUUUGUUUAAUUAUUUAAUAUAUGGUACUACCGCCACGAACGACGAAAAACAACAAAUAACCUUAAGUUUAAACCAAAGCGACUUUUGCGUGGACCCACAAAUAUAUUGCAAAACUGCAAUUAAAUUAUAAGUUUAAUUGCAAAAUUAGGGUUUCAGGGAUAAACCCUGAAGUUAGCACUGGAAGGGGUUUUUCCUCUUUGUACCAAACGUUAAUAUAAUAUUUCACGGGUUUUGCAAAUUAUAAAUUAAAAUGCGGAUAGGUUAAAUUUGCAAUAUUUUAUAUCCGAUUUUAUAUUCGGAAAUUCGAUUAUAAAUUUUAUAGCAGCCAAAAUUAUUAAUUACAAGGGUAAAAAUUAUUUUAAAAAUGGAAAGAAAUGGUAAAAAGGGCGUUAAAAAAAUAACGGGCAGGGUAGGGUAAUAUUUCCAAAUUACAAUAAGGAAGAAAAUUUAAUUCUAAUGGUUUUGCAAGAAAUAUUAAAAUUUCCAAUUUUAAUUAAUUAAACGUUGAAAUUUCCACGAUGUUAGCAAAUUUUAAACUAUUUACCGGUUUGAUUUUAAAUAAUAUUAACGUAAACGUAAUAUAUAACGGCUUGGAAGAGUCGAGCGAUUCGGGUGGUAAUAUAUCGUACCGGAUAUUAUAAUAAAAAAUUAAUUCCAUUAUUAGCGGGAUUAUAAAAUUAUAUUUGGAAUCGGAUUCGGAGCCCGAUUAUAUUGGUAAAACGUUAAAACUCCAGUUUUUAGCGAUUAAUUUUAAAAAUAAAAUAAAAUUUGGAAACGGCGUAAAUAAAAAUUUAAAACCCCGGAAAUUAAAUUACCCGGUUUAUUAUAAGGUAAAUCCACGGUUAUAUAACGGUCAAAUACCCGAAAGGAAUUAUUAUUAUUAUUAAAUAGAAAAAGAAAACAAACAAAGGAAAACAUCUUGGCAAUUCUUUUUUCAAAUAUAACGUGGAUUAUUACGUGGUCCCCGCUUUUAUUUAUUGGCACAAAUAUGUGUAAUUAAUACGAAUUUAUAAUAUAACCUAUUCCUCCCGGUCCGGAAAUUGUAUAACCCGUAUUUUCCCCGCCCCGAAACCCUAAUUCCUACCCUAUUAUUUUAUUCCCCCCGACGAAACCCUAUUUGGCGGUUUUGAAAUCGCGGAAAAAAAUUGUAUAAAUCGCCCUAUUAUUUUCCUGGAAUUGUAAUAUAAUUUUUACGGUAACGUGAUUACGUUUGCGUAUUUGUUUUAAUUUUGUAAUCACGUAUUGCCGGUUUGGAAACAAUUUUGUAUUUUUUACGCGUCGUGGCCAACGUAAUUAUUAUAUAUUACCGGACAGUAUUAUUUUAGUCGCGUUCGUCGUUUAUUUUUCGGGUUAAAAAUAUAUUAUUUUAUCGGACUUUUCUUUAUUCAAUUUUCCACAUUUUUAUUAUUUUUUUAUUUUUUUUUAUUUCGCCUUUUUUGUUUUCGCCUCGUUUUUGUUAUAUUUUUAUUAUAUUUGUAAUCCGUUAUUACCCUGUUUUAAUUUGCCCCGUUACGCUAUUUUCCUGUUUAGAAAUUUACCGCGGACCGGUAAAAAAACCCUGCUUUUUAUAUUUCUUUCGCAUUUGUUUUUUUUUUCACACAAAACUUUUUUUUUUAUAAUCUCGUUUCUAUUUAUUUAUAUAAUUUCUUUUUUUUAUUUUCGCCGCGCUUUGAUUUCUUUUUAAUUAUAUUUCUGCGCCCCAGUUUUGUUUAUUUUUCGCCUGGUUUUCUUUAUUAUUAUAUUUUCGUUUAAUUUUAACGGUAAUUUAUUAAAUCCGGUCGAAACGUUUUUUUGCCCCCGCCGUUAUUAAUAUUAGUCAAUUUCGGUUUUUUAAUUCUUAUAAUACCUUUAUUAUUAACAAAGAAUAGUGUUAAAAUUUUUGCGGCAAAUUAGUCCGACGUUUCCCGGCACGCGUUUUUUUAUUAACGGUUGUUAUAAUAUAUCCGUCGUACCGCCAGUUCGAAUAAAUUUAAAAAUAAUCCCGACGACGAAAAGUAUACCACGUUUAAAUAAUAUUUUCCUUUUAUCUUUUAUUUAAUUUUGCCAAAAUUAUUGAUAUUUUAAAUGGUUGCCCCAAUUUGGACGAAAUAAUUUACAGUCGGUAUAAUAAAAAUAUAAAAACGUUUUACAAUUAUAAUGAAAAAUUUAAUAUCCGGCAUUUUAUUUUAAAUUAUCGGUUAAAUAACGUAUAUUAUAUUAUAGUCGACGGAUAUGUCAUUACUACCCCAAAAACACUAAUAAUAUAUAACGUUAAUAAUUAAAUUAUUACGACGGAAUAUAAUAUUAAAAUAACUUUCGAAUUCCGCCUUAUUUAUAUAUUAAUUUGCGUAAAUAUCGUCGGUUCCGGAACAAAUUCUUUUGACGUUAUUUUAAAUUUUGGCGGUUCCAACGUUUUAUUAUUAAUAUAUUAUAACGGCGGUAAUAAAACCGCCUAAUAAUUUCUUCUCGGUUUUGCCCAAAAUUUGAAAUAUAUAAAAAUAAAAUAUUAAUUUUUUAAAUCUGUAAUUUGGAUAAAUAUUAAUCGGUGUUAUUAAAAACGCAAUAACAAAUAUUAUUUUUAAUUAUUAGAGACGUAACGCGGAUCUAUUAUUAUUUAACGCGAAAUUAACACCAUUUUUUCUACUUUCGCUAUUUUCAUUUAUACGCGUCCCGAAUUCCGCCUAAUAUAAUAUUUAUUUACGUUUUUUAAAUAUUAUUUGGCCGUUUAUAAGCUUUUUAUUAUAAUUUUAUUAAAUUUAAAUAUGUUAUUUUUAAAAACGCUUAUAUUUUUACACCACGGUACCGGUUUUAAUUUUAUAAACGUUUUAACUAAUUGCGUUACAGUUUCUUUGCGUUUUUUUACCCCCGUUACCCAAACGUUUGUCCUAAAACCCGGUUAUUUUCAUUUUUAUCAUUUUUCGCCAAAAUACGCACGGCUGUUCCUAAUAAACUUUCGUUAUAUAAUCCGCUAUUAUUUCGUAUAAUACCGUUUAAUACGCCGCCCCUAAUAUAAUACCGUCUAAUAGUCCGCCACCGCGUUUUUGCGUUUUACCGCCGCCUUUUAGUAUUUUACCGCCGCGCCCUAAUAUUCUAUUUAAUAUAAAAAUGAAUUUAAAUGUUUAAAAUAUUUGGAAUAUUAUAAAUUAAAUAUGUAAUAAUAUAAAUGAUAAUUAUUUAUUGCCGGUUAUAACCGCCCCUUUGUUUAGUUUUAUUUUUUACCCUUUUAUAUUUAUAUUUAAACCCCGUUAAUAUACAGGGGUUUAUUUAUUUAUAUUUUAAUUUCUUUUUAAUUAUAUUUUUUUCCGCGAAUUUUAACCGGUUUUAAAUUUAUAUUUAUUUAUCAUAUUUAAUUGCGCGUAAUUAUUCCCUUUAUUAAUUCCGAUAUCGAAAUAUAUAAAUAUAAAAUAUAUAAUAAUUUGUAUUAUAUUGCCGCGAAUUCGCGCAAAUAAUCCCUUUUUUCCGCAAUUGCGGGGGUUUUUGGAGCGUUAAUUAUAACGGGUCGGCGUCGUUUGGAAAUCGAUCCAUUAUUAAUACGAAUAUUUCCCUAACAAAUUUCGAACGGGUUUAAAAUAUCAAUAUCCGUUAUAAAUUUCAACGGUGUUUACGUAAAUUUAUUAAAACUUUACCAUUUUACUAAUAUUUGGCGGUUGUUUUCUUUGCGGUCUUUUGCAGUUAAAAUUGUUUUUAUAACCCAAAUUCUUUUAAAUUCGUCGUUUUUUAUCGGUUAAAACUCAGGGCCGGAUUGUAAAUCGGUCCGAGCUUGAAAGAAUAACGGGUUGCUAACAGUCCGUUUUAUUAAUUUUAUAUAAAAAAUAAAUUAAGCUUUCUAUAAAAUUUUUAAUAUAAUUCUAAACGGAACGGUUACCGUUAUUACGCAGUAUAUUUUAUAAAUAUAAUCGAAUUCUUAUACGGGCGGUUUAUAUAUAUAUUUUAUAAAUUAAAAAAAUAUUUUGUCCCUAAUUUGGAAACGUUUGGCCGGGCGCCAUAAUUUACUCGGUCCGGUCUUUUAACUUUAUUAAGUAUAUUUAAUAAAAGUUUGGACCAAUUCGAACUUUUCCCGUAAAUAUUUUAAGAAUCGCGUCAUUUUAAUUUUGGAAUUUCAAACUGGGAUUUUGGAAAAGAAAACAACGUUUGGUAUUAUUUUAACGUUAAACUUUAAUAAUAACUUACUUAAUAUUACUUUUGUUACGGACAAAUUUGGUUGUUAAAACCAACAAUAUAAUUUCCAAAUAAUAAAAUUAAUUUCUUUAACCGAAAAUUAUAUAAAUUUUUGAAUAUUACUAAAUUUCCUAAUUGGUCCGUUCCGUACCCCCAUCAGUUUCGGGGUAAUGAAAAAUGGGAAAUAAUUAUUUUACGCCCGUUUAUUAUUACGUAUUUGCCCGAUAAUAUAAUAAAUAUAAUAAUGAAUUUAAAAAAUCCUGUAAUAUUUACAUUUAGCAAACACUUCGUCGGUCCCAGUUAUAAGGUUGUGUUACGCGCACGUAAUAUUUACUUAUAUGAUUUUAUUUUAAAAUAUCCUACCCAAUUAAAGUUUUAAUUAAAAUUAAUUUAUUUGGGAAAUCUUUGGAAAGGUUAUUAAAAAAAUAAAAAUCAUACCGCAUAAUUUUCCGUUUUUAUUAAGUACAUUAUUUCCUAUUAUGUAUAUUUAAAAAUAUAUUUAUAAUAAUUAUUAAAUAUCUAAAAAUUGUUUCCACGUUCCCAAAUAAAUUAGAAGUAGCGGUCCGGAAGUGGGCAGGGCCCUGAAGUGGUUAUUUUUCUUUUGCUUUUUUGACAUUUAUAACAAUUUAACCGAAUACUCGAUACAGACCAAAUCUAAUACGUAUAUAAAACCAAGCAACCACUUUUUAAUAAUGUAAAAUAUAUAUCUGUAACGCUAAUAAUGAUCGAGAUAUUAAGAAUAUUAUACAUCUGCUAUUUUUAUUGUUUAAAAUUCGAAUUAAAGUGCGAUAAAUAGAAGGUAAAACUUGUUAAAUACAUUAAGUUUCAGAUAAUAUUUGGGAUUUCAAUUUCGGCUGGUAGUAUAUUCGGUUAAUUCUAUACGAUUUUUUGAAACAAAAACCCUAAAAACGCAUAUUAAAUCAAGAUUUAAUAUAUAAAAGAGCAAAAGAAAAAUAACCACUUCAGGGCCCUGUCCACUUGUGGGUCAACUACUCUAAUUAUAAAGUCGAUUAAUAUUUAUUUUUAAAAUUUAUACGGGAUAAAUAAUAGUUAGAGAGAUUUCCGGCGCGUCUGGCGCGAACAUUUAAUUUGUUAAUAUAUAUUAUAAUUAUAUAAAAAAUAUUUUAUUUAUUUUAUUAUACUGUUGCAGUAACAAUUUUAAAUAAAUAUA
Molecule: small RNA, 6047 nt
Filed under: Pyricularia oryzae
Lineage: Eukaryota; Fungi; Ascomycota; Sordariomycetes; Magnaporthales; Pyriculariaceae
Description: Magnaporthe oryzae sRNA M_BR32_EuGene_00098701
Source: RNAcentral